Long non-coding RNA from Betta splendens (Siamese fighting fish), 175 nucleotides. RefSeq lists it as uncharacterized. The transcript is spliced from 3 exons. The record is from RefSeq and is a predicted model, not a curated record. NCBI's taxonomy places the organism in Eukaryota, Metazoa, Chordata, Actinopteri, Anabantiformes, Osphronemidae.
UCGGCUCCAAGUUAUACAGUAUAAGUCAGCUCCAGGUUCUAAGUCAGCUCCAGGUUCUAAGUCAGCUCCAGGUUCUAAGUCAGCUCCAGCUUUUUCCAGCUGUUUUCUUUCACAUAUUGCUUCACAACGAGAAAGUAGAAAUCAACUUAGUGACAUGAAUUUAAUGAAGUUAAGC